This 341-nucleotide ribosomal RNA is filed under the name Pheidole tandjongensis. RNAcentral's name for it is "partial 12S ribosomal RNA". Lineage: Eukaryota; Metazoa; Arthropoda; Insecta; Hymenoptera; Formicidae. The record is from RNAcentral.
UUAUAAUUAAAGUUAAAUUAAUAAGAAAUUAAAUGGAAUCAUUAAAUUUAAAAAAUUUGACGGUAUUUUAAAUAGUUAGAGGAAUUUGUUAAUUAAAUGAUAAUCCACGAUUGGAAUGUCCUAGUGAAGUUUUUAUGUAUUGUUGUAUAAAAAUUAUUUUAUGAGAAUGAUAAUUAACAUAUUUUAUUUAAUUUGAAUUCAAAUCAAAAUGUAGAAUUAUUAGGAUAUAAUGAAUUACAGCUUAAUAUAAUAUUAAAAUUAUUUUUUUAAUUAAAAUAAUUAAAUAGGAUUUAAAAGUAAAUUUAUAAAAAUUUUUAAAUUGAAAUAUAAAUUAAAAUAUG